Long non-coding RNA from Gallus gallus (chicken), 1288 nucleotides. Lineage: Eukaryota; Metazoa; Chordata; Aves; Galliformes; Phasianidae. The record is from Ensembl.
GAAAAUGUGCUGCAGCCAAGGAGAUGAGCUGCAAGAAGUCAGCCUCUGUAUGCUGAUUUAUCUGUCUCCUUCACAGUGCAAAUUGUACACUUCCUCUCUGCUGCUUCUAAGGAAGACAAAUGCAUCUCUUUUUGUUGGUUUUGUAAGUUGGAGACCUUAGGAAAUGUGGUUUUGUUUUGCUUGGAGAGCAAAUCUUGUGCCAGACCAUGAAAUGCUCCCUUGCACCGCUCCUGCUGCUUCGCCCAUCCAGCAGCCUGGAAUGGGAUUUUCCAAGUAAAGCAUCACAAAGUCUGCACCUGGGAUACACAGCUCUACAAAAUGCACAUUCCCUGUGGUGCAGUUUGGACCCUCCAUUGGGGAUCUUGCAGGGACAUUUUGUUGGACCUUAGAGAAGUGCCUCAGCAACUCUUGAAUGCAACUGUAUGAGCAACACGACUACUGCAUGCUCAGCGCAGGCAGAAGAAGACUUCUGCUUCACAAUAGUUAAACAAGUCAAGGACGUAAUUCACAUCCUUUUAAGGUUGGAAGUGAAAAACAGACUACAGAAUGACAGGAGAAAGGAAAAUGCUGGUUUUCAUGGCUUCAUCACUGUUGAACAGAGCAGCCUUAGGUUGGGUCAUUUCUUUGUGCCGGAGGACUUUUCAAAGGAUGCUGAAGCUUUCAUACUACACGGCUUACAGUGCAGAUGGAACAGGACGUGUCGUUAUGUUUACUGUGUGUGGCUGUCAGUGCUUAGCAGUAAGGUGUGCUUGGUUAUUAGCAAUGUCUGGUUCCUGUAUCACGAACCCUACGCCUGCAGCUUUUCUCCUGCCUUUGCCUCUCAGCUGUGAAUUACUGCACUGGUGUGUCUGUGCUCAGGACUACCCAGAAGGAAGCACACAAGGCCCAUUUCUGGACUUCAUGAGCUACAAUGUUCGGUGCUGCACAGGUGAGCAUGGUGUGGACAGCAGCACAUGGAUGGGCAGGUCAGGGAAGUACCACAGGGAAGAGCACAGCAAUGCCUUCGAUUCCCCCAGGCUCUUCUCAUAACAUCCUAUGCAAAAUGUCUGCAACAUGGGGAUGUUGAGCAUAGCAAAAGCACAAGCACUAGCACUGCCAGUGGAAACACUUAUCUGGAAAGAAUGUUCUUCAUUGCACCAUUGGGGAAAUUAAAUCAAAUUAAGCCGUUUCAUUUGUUGGGGUAGGAGAUUAUUCCUCAUUGUGCCAGCAAAUUCUUUACUUGCCUCCAUAAGGAAUUCAUCCAAAGUCUGAAUUUUGAAUGGCUCCAAAAUAAAACUAAUUUAAGCAG